Molecule: transfer RNA, 73 nt
Filed under: human gut metagenome
Rfam family: tRNA
About the family: Transfer RNA (tRNA) molecules are approximately 80 nucleotides in length.
Source: RNAcentral
GGAGUAUAGCUCAGUUUUGGUAGAGCAACGCCCUUUUAAGGCGUGGGUCAGGGGUUCGAAUCCCCUUACUCCC